AGAAAAAAGCAGAAGCAACCCGCUUCUCGCCUAGUGGAUUUACAAUUCGCAGGCAGAUGAUAUUUAUUUCGAAUUGAUGAAGUGAAGAUUAACCCGGGUAGCUUUGUAUAGGCUACUCGGUUUUUUUCUGCAUU
The sequence is a regulatory RNA element, 134 nucleotides long. It matches the Rfam family "Ribosomal protein L20 leader". From Rfam's summary of the family: This family is a putative r-protein leader autoregulatory structure found in B. subtilis and other low-GC Gram-positive bacteria. It is located in the 5' untranslated regions of mRNAs encoding initiation factor 3 followed by ribosomal proteins L35 and L20 (infC-rpmI-rplT). A Rho-independent transcription terminator structure that is probably involved in regulation is included at the 3' end. The record is from Rfam.